RNAcentral lists this ribosomal RNA (200 nucleotides) under uncultured bacterium. Its description in RNAcentral is "partial 16S ribosomal RNA". It matches the Rfam family "Bacterial small subunit ribosomal RNA", at positions 30 to 233 of the family's 1533-position model. The record is from RNAcentral.
AUUGAACGCUGGCGGCAUGCUUUACACAUGCAAGUCGAACGGUAACAGGCCGCAAGGUGCUGACGAGUGGCGAACGGGUGAGUAAUGCAUCGGAACGUGCCCAGUCGUGGGGGAUAACGCAGCGAAAGCUGCGCUAAUACCGCAUACGAUCUAUGGAUGAAAGCGGGGACCGUAAGGCCUCGCGCGAUUGGAGCGGCCGA